GGUUAAGCGACUAAGCGUACACGGUGGAUGCCCUGGCAGUCAGAGGCGAUGAAGGACGUGCUAAUCUGCGAUAAGCGUCGGUAAGGUGAUAUGAACCGUUAUAACCGGCGAUUUCCGAAUGGGGAAACCCAGUGUGAUUCGUCACACUAUCAUUAACUGAAUCCAUAGGUUAAUGAGGCGAACCGGGGGAACUGAAACAUCUAAGUACCCCGAGGAAAAGAAAUCAACCGAGAUUCCCCCAGUAGCGGCGAGCGAACGGGGAGCAGCCCAGAGCCUGAAUCAGUGUGUGUGUUAGUGGAAGCGUCUGGAAAGGCGCGCGAUACAGGGUGACAGCCCCGUACACAAAAAUGCACAUACUGUGAGCUCGAUGAGUAGGGCGGGACACGUGGUAUCCUGUCUGAAUAUGGGGGGACCAUCCUCCAAGGCUAAAUACUCCUGACUGACCGAUAGUGAACCAGUACCGUGAGGGAAAGGCGAAAAGAACCCCGGCGAGGGGAGUGAAAAAGAACCUGAAACCGUGUACGUACAAGCAGUGGGAGCCUCUUUAUGGGGUGACUGCGUACCUUUUGUAUAAUGGGUCAGCGACUUAUAUUCUGUAGCAAGGUUAACCGAAUAGGGGAGCCGAAGGGAAACCGAGUCUUAACUGGGCGUUAAGUUGCAGGGUAUAGACCCGAAACCCGGUGAUCUAGCCAUGGGCAGGUUGAAGGUUGGGUAACACUAACUGGAGGACCGAACCGACUAAUGUUGAAAAAUUAGCGGAUGACUUGUGGCUGGGGGUGAAAGGCCAAUCAAACCGGGAGAUAGCUGGUUCUCCCCGAAAGCUAUUUAGGUAGCGCCUCGUGAAUUCAUCUCCGGGGGUAGAGCACUGUUUCGGCAAGGGGGUCAUCCCGACUUACCAACCCGAUGCAAACUGCGAAUACCGGAGAAUGUUAUCACGGGAGACACACGGCGGGUGCUAACGUCCGUCGUGAAGAGGGAAACAACCCAGACCGCCAGCUAAGGUCCCAAAGUCAUGGUUAAGUGGGAAACGAUGUGGGAAGGCCCAGACAGCCAGGAUGUUGGCUUAGAAGCAGCCAUCAUUUAAAGAAAGCGUAAUAGCUCACUGGUCGAGUCGGCCUGCGCGGAAGAUGUAACGGGGCUAAACCAUGCACCGAAGCUGCGGCAGCGACACUAUGUGUUGUUGGGUAGGGGAGCGUUCUGUAAGCCUGUGAAGGUGUGCUGUGAGGUAUGCUGGAGGUAUCAGAAGUGCGAAUGCUGACAUAAGUAACGAUAAAGCGGGUGAAAAGCCCGCUCGCCGGAAGACCAAGGGUUCCUGUCCAACGUUAAUCGGGGCAGGGUGAGUCGACCCCUAAGGCGAGGCCGAAAGGCGUAGUCGAUGGGAAACAGGUUAAUAUUCCUGUACUUGGUGUUACUGCGAAGGGGGGACGGAGAAGGCUAUGUUGGCCGGGCGACGGUUGUCCCGGUUUAAGCGUGUAGGCUGGUUUUCCAGGCAAAUCCGGAAAAUCAAGGCUGAGGCGUGAUGACGAGGCACUACGGUGCUGAAGUAACAAAUGCCCUGCUUCCAGGAAAAGCCUCUAAGCAUCAGGUAACAUCAAAUCGUACCCCAAACCGACACAGGUGGUCAGGUAGAGAAUACCAAGGCGCUUGAGAGAACUCGGGUGAAGGAACUAGGCAAAAUGGUGCCGUAACUUCGGGAGAAGGCACGCUGAUAUGUAGGUGAAGUCCCUUGCGGAUGGAGCUGAAAUCAGUCGAAGAUACCAGCUGGCUGCAACUGUUUAUUAAAAACACAGCACUGUGCAAACACGAAAGUGGACGUAUACGGUGUGACGCCUGCCCGGUGCCGGAAGGUUAAUUGAUGGGGUUAGCGGUAACGCGAAGCUCUUGAUCGAAGCCCCGGUAAACGGCGGCCGUAACUAUAACGGUCCUAAGGUAGCGAAAUUCCUUGUCGGGUAAGUUCCGACCUGCACGAAUGGCGUAAUGAUGGCCAGGCUGUCUCCACCCGAGACUCAGUGAAAUUGAACUCGCUGUGAAGAUGCAGUGUACCCGCGGCAAGACGGAAAGACCCCGUGAACCUUUACUAUAGCUUGACACUGAACAUUGAGCCUUGAUGUGUAGGAUAGGUGGGAGGCUUUGAAGUGUGGACGCCAGUCUGCAUGGAGCCGACCUUGAAAUACCACCCUUUAAUGUUUGAUGUUCUAACGUUGGCCCCUGAUCGGGGUUGCGGACAGUGUCUGGUGGGUAGUUUGACUGGGGCGGUCUCCUCCUAAAGAGUAACGGAGGAGCACGAAGGUUGGCUAAUCCUGGUCGGACAUCAGGAGGUUAGUGCAAUGGCAUAAGCCAGCUUGACUGCGAGCGUGACGGCGCGAGCAGGUGCGAAAGCAGGUCAUAGUGAUCCGGUGGUUCUGAAUGGAAGGGCCAUCGCUCAACGGAUAAAAGGUACUCCGGGGAUAACAGGCUGAUACCGCCCAAGAGUUCAUAUCGACGGCGGUGUUUGGCACCUCGAUGUCGGCUCAUCACAUCCUGGGGCUGAAGUAGGUCCCAAGGGUAUGGCUGUUCGCCAUUUAAAGUGGUACGCGAGCUGGGUUUAGAACGUCGUGAGACAGUUCGGUCCCUAUCUGCCGUGGGCGCUGGAGAACUGAGGGGGGCUGCUCCUAGUACGAGAGGACCGGAGUGGACGCAUCACUGGUGUUCGGGUUGUCAUGCCAAUGGCACUGCCCGGUAGCUAAAUGCGGAAGAGAUAAGUGCUGAAAGCAUCUAAGCACGAAACUUGCCCCGAGAUGAGUUCUCCCUGACCCUUUAAGGGUCCUGAAGGAACGUUGAAGACGACGACGUUGAUAGGCCGGGUGUGUAAGCGCAGCGAUGCGUUGAGCUAACCGGUACUAAUGAACCGUGAGGCUUAACCUU
Molecule: ribosomal RNA, 2904 nt
Filed under: Escherichia coli
Lineage: Bacteria; Pseudomonadati; Pseudomonadota; Gammaproteobacteria; Enterobacterales; Enterobacteriaceae
Also listed under: 1 other name
Description: 23S ribosomal RNA
Rfam family: Bacterial large subunit ribosomal RNA
Source: RNAcentral